RNAcentral lists this ribosomal RNA (329 nucleotides) under uncultured eukaryote. Its description in RNAcentral is "partial 18S ribosomal RNA". It matches the Rfam family "Eukaryotic small subunit ribosomal RNA", at positions 1470 to 1796 of the family's 1831-position model. The record is from RNAcentral.
CCCUUAGAUGUCCUGGGCUGCACGCGCGCUACACUGACGAACUCAACGAGCUUAUCACCUUGGCAGAGAUGCCUGGGUAAUCUUUUGAAAGUUCGUCGUGCUGGGGAUAGAUGAUUGUAAUUAUUCGUCUUGAACGAGGAAUUCCUAGUAAGUGUGAGUCAUCAGCUCGCGCUGAUUACGUCCCUGCCCUUUGUACACACCGCCCGUCGCUCCUACCGAUUGAAUGGUCCGGUGAGGUUCUCGGAUUUUUUCUGUUGUUUGGUUCGCUAAACGAUUGAAGAGAGAAGUUACCCAAACCUUACCAUUUAGAGGAAGGAGAAGUCGUAACA